UUUGUCUUGUUUUUUUUUUUUUUUUAAAUUGGACAAUUGGAGUCAGAAUUGAGGGGAAAUGUUGCUUGUCUGGUACAGACAGAAUGGUUCUCCUGAGUCAAGGAUAUGUACUGGUGGGAAAGAAUAACCUAGAAUGCAAACUAAGAUCCCUUCAGGUUCACCCAGUAGCUCAUUCUAGAAAAUGAGCCAAAAGAUUUGAGAAAUUUGAUGAAGACAGAUGUUUACAUGAGGGAAAGAACUGUUUAGUAAAGAAAAUAAUGGCAAGAAGAGAUGGUAUUUGGUGAUCAAAGGGAAAUUAAUGCUGUGCAAGGUCUGAUCCUGGCGAAGUUAUGUGACAAUUGACUUUUUAAAUUAUCCAUUGUAUGAUGAUGAUUGUCUUCACUGAGGGUCACAGAGUCACAUAGAGUCCUUAUAACCCUGGUGUGGCAUGGCUAGACACUGUGGCAAAAGCAGCUCCUGGCCAUGAGUACUGACUGAUCUUCCAACAGCAAAAUCAGCAGGUCGGACUAGUGCUGGCAUAGGCCUACACCAGGAACUAACAACUAGUGUGAGGUCCUAUGUUCCUGCUGUCAGGGAAGAAUUAGGUUGGAGCUCUUGUGUGGUUUUGUAUUCCCAUAACUGAGCAGAUUUCUCUAAAGAUUAUCAGUCCUUUAAAAUAAAAGAAAGCACUUACCUGGGAAUUUACUUGUAAAGCAAAUGAUCUACCAUAUUUCCUCUUCUGUUACUUACUCUUCAUUGGACUAGGAUACAUUGGAUUGGUAAUUGUUAGCAAUGCCUCAGCAGAUAUGAAAAAGGUACAGAAAAUUUUAAAAGGUAUUAAAACCCUUUUCUUAAAAAGCUCUCAGCCUAGUAUGGUGUAGCUGAAAGAGUAUCAGACUGAUAACAGUCCAGGGAUUCUGAUUCUCUUUGGUCUGAUUGUUAACCCUCUCUGUUCUUAGUGGCUGUCUAACUUAUCAGAUUUCAGAUUUGUUGAAGAUAAAGUGGAACAUUAGUCAUUUAAUAAAAACUAAAGAUGGAAGGGAAAGAGCCCUUUUAGUAGCCUGUUUAAGUAUGUUUUAUAUAUUUUUAGAGUUUUUAAGUCUUAUAUUACAUUUUAAGGUGUCAUGAUUAUUUUUGUGUGUGUGAUUUAUCUUUUUAAGUCAUAUUUUAUUUUUCUAUUACAAUUGACAAUACAAUAUUACUAGUUUCAGGUAUGUACUCCAGCAGUCAGACAUUACAUAACUUCCUAAGUGAUCAUCCCGAUAAUCUCAUACCUAUCUGACGUAAGGUCUCAUGUUUAUUAAUGUUGGAGUUAGAACUCUUCUGUGUUUUGCUCACAGCAUUUUCUCCUCUAAGUUAUCACUGGUAUUUAAAAAAUAGAAUAAGUUGAGUGUGGUGGGUAAAAUGAACAGAAAACAAGUUCUUGUAGGCCUCUUUUCUGAAUUAGUCAUCAAAGCCAGUAGCCAUUCAUGUUUAGUGCUGGGUAUGGUUGGGAUAGACAGACUCUGAUACUUGACAUUUACAUUGCCUUAGAGAUAAAUCCAAGUGUUGACUAAUUUGCAAGUGUGUUUGCAGUUUGAUUGUUUAUAACUUAGAAUACAUUAUUGUACGCAGACUAGUUCAAACAAAGAUCUGAUUUAUUAACCUCAUUGUGGCUUUAACAG
Molecule: long non-coding RNA, 1643 nt
Organism: Phyllostomus discolor (pale spear-nosed bat)
Lineage: Eukaryota; Metazoa; Chordata; Mammalia; Chiroptera; Phyllostomidae
Exons: 2
Source: RefSeq, a predicted model, not a curated record